CACGAAGUUAGCCGGUGCUUAUUCUUUGGGUACCGUCAUCCCUGCCGGGUAUUAGCCAACAGGAUUUCUUUCCCAACAAAAGAGCUUUACAACCCGAGGGCCUUCUUCACUCACGCGGUAUGGCUGGAUCAGGCUUGCGCCCAUUGUCCAAUAUUCCCCACUGCUGCCUCCCGUAGGAGUCUGGACCGUGUCUCAGUUCCAGUGUGGCUGAUCAUCCUCUCAGACCAGCUACGGAUCGUCGCCUUGGUGGGCCUUUACCCGCCAACUAGCUAAUCCGACAUCGGCUCAUUCUAUCGCGUGAGGCCUUGCGGUCCCCCACUUUCACCCGUAGGUCGUAUGCGGUAUUAGCGUAAGUUUCCCUACGUUAUCCCCCACGACAGAGUAGAUUCCGAUGUAUUCCUCACCCGUCCGCCACUCGCCACCCAGAGAGCAAGCUCUCCUGUGCUGCCGUUCGACUUGCAUGUGUUAGGCCUACCGCCAGCGUUCACUCUGAGCCAGGAUCAAA
RNAcentral lists this ribosomal RNA (505 nucleotides) under uncultured Pseudoxanthomonas sp. RNAcentral describes it as "partial 16S ribosomal RNA". Lineage: Bacteria; Pseudomonadati; Pseudomonadota; Gammaproteobacteria; Lysobacterales; Lysobacteraceae. The record is from RNAcentral.